AGGUGACCGCGGAAGAUCAUUACCGAGUUGAUUCGGGCUCCGGCCCGAUCCUCCCACCCUUUGUGUCCUACCUCUGUUGCUUUGGCGGGCCGCGGUCCUCCGCGGCCGGCCCCCCCUCCCCGGGGGGUGGCCAGCGCCCGCCAGAGGACCAUCAAACUCCAGUCAGUAAACGAUGCAGUCUGAAAAACAUUUAAUAAACUAAAACUUUCAACAACGGAUCUCUUGGUUCUGGCAUCGAUGAAGAACGCAGCGAAAUGCGAUAAGUAAUGUGAAUUGCAGAAUUCAGUGAAUCAUCGAAUCUUUGAACGCACAUUGCGCCCUUUGGUAUUCCGAAGGGCAUGCCUGUUCGAGCGUCAUUACAACCCUCAAGCUCUGCUUGGUAUUGGGCACCGUCCUUUGCGGGCGCGCCUCAAAGACCUCGGCGGUGGCGUCUUGCCUCAAGCGUAGUAGAACAUACAUCUCGCUUCGGAGCGCAGGGCGUCGCCCGCCGGACGAACCUUCUGAACUUUUCUUCAAGGUUGACCUCGGAUCAGGUAGGGA
This 540-nucleotide ribosomal RNA is filed under the name Botryosphaeria dothidea. RNAcentral describes it as "eukaryotic LSU rRNA". The stretch from base 203 to 356 matches the Rfam family "5.8S ribosomal RNA". Lineage: Eukaryota; Fungi; Ascomycota; Dothideomycetes; Botryosphaeriales; Botryosphaeriaceae. The record is from RNAcentral.